GUCCACCCUUCACCUCCCCUCCUCCCCAACCACCCUCCCCACCUUGCCAGUUUUCCCUGAAACUGACACACUGGUUUGGGUGAAUGAUAGAUACAUUUAAAGAGGCCUCAGAAGCAUGGGGCUGUAGGCUGGGAGACUGGGUAUUUUUCCAUUAUUGUAAUAAGUCCGUUUCGCUCCCCUGUUUAGGCAGGAUAGAUGGCUGUGAUUCCUGCGGACAAAGACGAAGAUCGAUGCUGAAUUAAGGCUGCAGCAAGCCCUUUUGUCAUCCUGCAGGCAGGAGGAGUCCGGGAAGCUCACUUAUCUGGAUAAGAAGACCGUUUGAGAUUAGAAGCAUGAUGACGUUUAAGUAGAAGAAGCACUCGAGAGGAUGAUCAGCUGUCCCUCAGAGUAGCCUUCUCAGCAGCUACAUCCAUAGUCUCGGGGACAUGGGCAAAUGAUGCAGAGCCCGCCGGCUUCAUCAGUUCUGCCUGGACCUCUCAUCUCCCUGCAGCUGCGUUUCCGUGUGGCAUGGAGGUUGGGCUCCAGGGAAGGAAGGCUCCUGCAUCUCUGAGAACAUCAUUACCUCCACUCACCUCCACUCGCAUACUCCUUCCAGUGCUAACCUCGUUUGUUUGGAUGAUGACAUCAUCUCUGUCAAUGGGAAGCAGCUCUGUGCCUCAGUUUAUCACUCACACAAUGAAAGGGCUACGGCAUAGCACCC
Molecule: long non-coding RNA, 700 nt
Organism: Rattus norvegicus (Norway rat)
Lineage: Eukaryota; Metazoa; Chordata; Mammalia; Rodentia; Muridae
Source: RefSeq, a predicted model, not a curated record